CUGUAGGAUUACAAAUUUAUAAAAUGUUAAAUCUAGCUUCCAACGUAAUAGUACACAAACUGAACAAGUUAUGUACAUUGGGUUUUACAUUUUGAGGUAAAAUUGGUGACAUUCUAAGAAGAUCAAGUCUUGUACCCCAGGUGUCAGAGACAUUAACCUUUUGUCUUUAUGUACUUCCUGACCACUGGGUAGGGUCCCACAGUCAAUGGGAAUGCUAAUCUCAAGGCCAGGCUGUGCCUUUGUCUCUAUGAGAAUGUAAAGGUUUGGGUGAUACUGUCAGGCUGAUUAGAUUAGCACCUAUGCAUUUGAAAGCCACUGUUAUGCUGAGGAGAUCAAGGCUGGGGAACUUCCGUUACCAGGCUGACUCCUGUACUAGACUAUGCUUUGUUUAAGUGGUCUCCACCUCUUUGUAUCCUCCCCCUCUUGUAAAGUAUAAACUCUCCAGAGCUGAGUUUUUAGUCAGACUUGGAUGACUACAGCGACGCUCGGCGAGUUCUCAAUAAAGAGUAACUUCUGCUUGAAUGAUA
Molecule: long non-coding RNA, 527 nt
Organism: Brienomyrus brachyistius
Lineage: Eukaryota; Metazoa; Chordata; Actinopteri; Osteoglossiformes; Mormyridae
Exons: 2
Source: RefSeq, a predicted model, not a curated record